GGGUCAGUAGGUUGGUCGUGCCACCGGUACGUACUGGUCUCACUGAUUCCUCCUUCCUGAAUAACCGUAAUGCCAUUAAUUUGGUGUUGCGGGGAAACAGGACUGUUACUUUGAAAAGAUUAGAGUGUUUAAAGCAAACUAACGCUUGAAUACAUUAGCAUGGAAUAAUGAAAUAGGACGAUCGAUCCUAUUUUGUUGGUUUCUAGGAUUGACGUA
Molecule: ribosomal RNA, 216 nt
Filed under: Glomeromycotina sp.
Lineage: Eukaryota; Fungi; Glomeromycota
Description: partial small subunit ribosomal RNA
Rfam family: Eukaryotic small subunit ribosomal RNA (bases 40-216)
Source: RNAcentral